AGCGGUGGACGGGUGAGUAACACGUAGGUAACCUACCUAUAAGACUGGGAUAACUUCGGGAAACCGGAGCUAAUACCGGAUAAUAUUUCGAACCGCAUGGUUCGAUAGUGAAAGAUGGCUUUGCUAUCACUUAUAGAUGGACCUGCGCCGUAUUAGCUAGUUGGUAAGGUAACGGCUUACCAAGGCAACGAUACGUAGCCGACCUGAGAGGGUGAUCGGCCACACUGGAACUGAGACACGGUCCAGACUCCUACGGGAGGCAGCAGUGGGGAAUAUUGGACAAUGGGCGCAAGCCUGAUCCAGCCAUGCCGCGUGAGUGAUGAAGGCCUUAGGGUUGUAAAGCUCUUUCAGUGGGGAAGAUAAUGACGGUACCCAGUAAAGAAGCCCCGGCUAACUCCGUGCCAGCAGCCGCGGUAAUACGGAGGGAGCUAGCGUUGUUCGGAAUUACUGGGCGUAAAGCGCACGUAGGCGG
This 472-nucleotide ribosomal RNA is filed under the name Crypthecodinium cohnii. RNAcentral's name for it is "partial Bacterial small subunit ribosomal RNA". It matches the Rfam family "Bacterial small subunit ribosomal RNA", at positions 94 to 578 of the family's 1533-position model. The record is from RNAcentral. Lineage: Eukaryota; Dinophyceae; Gonyaulacales; Crypthecodiniaceae.